This 73-nucleotide transfer RNA is filed under the name Candidatus Pacearchaeota archaeon RBG_13_36_9. RNAcentral's name for it is "tRNA-Gly". It matches the Rfam family "tRNA". Rfam says of the family: Transfer RNA (tRNA) molecules are approximately 80 nucleotides in length. Lineage: Archaea; Nanobdellati. The record is from RNAcentral.
GCGUGGGUAGCAUAAUGGUUUAGUGUGUCUGCCUUCCAAGCAGACGAUCCGGGUUCGAAUCCCGGCUCGCGCA